AACACUAUGGUAAUAUUGUAAUUAAGGACAGAGAUAAAUAAGUAAUUUUAUAUUUAUAAUAAUUUUAAUUUGGCCCAAUGAUAUCAACAAGGGGCUUAAUUGAAUCAACAAAUGCAACCUGGAGUGUUUAAUCAGAAUUUUCCAGGGGUAAAUGUUAUAGGGAAAUAAAAGGAGGGGUUAAAUGGGUAUAUGGGUAAGAAAAGGAAAGAAAAGAAAGAAAGAAAGAGAAAGGGACGAAGAAAAAGAUAGAGGACAGGGAGUGCGGCUGUCAUUAAUGAGGCGGUUUGAGGCGUGGUGGCACGACUGGUGAAGGAGUAGACACCGAUGAGCUCGAUGGAGGAGAUGGCAGCAGUUAGGUGGCGGAAAACGUCAAGGAAAGACAACAAAUUUUAGACACUGUUCAUGGCUUUUCGGCAACAACAACCACUGAUUUCGGUGGCGAUCAACUCAUUUGAGAAUGGGCUUUCAUAUGGGGGAACAAUAUUGACAAAGGUGGCUGGAGAGGAGAGUUUCGAUGAAGGAAAGAUUGUGAAGGCAGCUCGCUUUUUGGACACUUCUGGCCAUUUUCGGCAAGGUUAGGCUGAUCAAAGCUCACCAACGGACUCUCCUUGUCACAAGCUUUCUAAUGACACCGAUUUCAUACCCGAUCAGACUUUGUUAGAAAUCAACAGUUGAGAAUUGUCGGUGAGAUUUUGAGAUGAUCUGAAACUGGAUCAAAGAAAUAGAAGAUGAAUUCAUUCUCUACGAAUUAUUUCGAGUUUUAGGCACCUCGGAUUGUCGAUCGGACUCUUGGAGGCUUUGGGUAUUCCAAGAUGAAGAUCAAGAUAAAAUCAUGAAGUAAUAAAAAUCACGACUACAAAAAAGAGCAAAAAUAGUCCAGUAGAGGUUGCGACCACGACAAGGAUUUUUUGACAAUGAAAUUCGUGCUGACAGUACAUUUAAUGACGCUUUUAUAGUUGUUAGAGAAAUUUGAGCUAACUAAUUUUUGUAACUGCUGUAUGGAGGAAAAACACUAUAAAUACUCACUUGGAACAUUAAAUUGAAGGUUUUUAAGCUCUCAAAAGAUAAAAUACAAGUGGAAAACAUCUUCUUACAUCUUUGAGCAUAGAAUUCAUCAUCAAAUCUUCUUGUGUUUCAUUUGUCAGGUUGAAAUACUUUUGUUUGAGGGUUGUAAGUUCACUCUACUUUUUACUAUUGAGUUAUAUUUGUAAGAGUGAACUUGAUUUCUUUCUUCUCUAAAUUAUUCUCUAUUGUAAGGGUUUGAGUGUGAGCCAUUAAAUAUUUGGAUUUGAAGUUUUGGGUGUUAGUCAUAGAAAAGUACUUGGUUUGAGUGUGAGCAAUAAAACACUUGAAUUUGAAGGUUUGAGUGUUAGCCUUUGAAAAAUAUUUGGAUUUGAGUAUUAGCCAUAAAAAAACACUUAGGUUCGAGUGUUAGCCAUCACAACACUUGUAAGAAGUUUGAAUGUGAGCUUGAAAAUAUUUGAGUUUGAUCUUGCACCCGUAAAAAGAUCAUUGAUAGUGGAAAUCUCAACUGAAGCUUGAGGAGUGGAUGUAGGCAAGGAGUUGGUUGAACCACUAUAAAUCUUGUGUUUGAAUCUCUCUUUCUUACACUUUUAUAUUUUUUAUAUUUAUAUUUGCUAUAUGUUUUAAUUUAUUCUUGCAUUCUAUAUUGAGAAUUGUUCAAUUGCUUUGAUUAUUUGCUUAUGCAAAUAUUGGUUUUAAUACUCAAGCUUUUCAAAGUAAAAGUUUUUAAUUAAAAUUGAUUUUUGUAAACAACCAAUUCACCCCCUCUUAGUUGCCAUAAGGUAUUUUACUAUUGAUUCCAAUAAAUCAUAUUCAACUCUUGUAGUAUUUAAAAUAAAAAAAUUAUUGUAAACUUGCUCCCUAGGAUUUAAACUCAGGUCACUAUAGUGAUUGUAUAGUCUGCCACUAAAGUAGUGCUUAAUUCUGUUAAGUUAUAGCAACACACACACACACACACACACACACACACACACACACAUAUAUAUAUAUAUAUAUAUAUAUAUAUAUAUAUAAGCUGGAAUGCCUUUAUAGAGGAGACUACCCGAGGAAUCGAAAAUUACUAACGAUGUAUAGCGCAGCUUGUGCCAGGAUUACUGUCGAUUUUUCCCAUGUGGUGUUGAACUUUGCCCCCAUAUGCUAGCUGCUAGGCUGGACCACCUCGAAUGGCGUGAGCCGCAUGCGGGGACACCCGCACGUACGGUUUUUAGGGGGAUCUGGUCGAAAGACCGGCCGACGCCCACCCG
Molecule: long non-coding RNA, 2267 nt
Organism: Ricinus communis (castor bean)
Lineage: Eukaryota; Viridiplantae; Streptophyta; Magnoliopsida; Malpighiales; Euphorbiaceae
Exons: 2
Source: RefSeq, a predicted model, not a curated record